GGGAAUGUGGCUUAGUGGUAGAGUGCUUGCCUAGCAUGCAUGAGGCCCUAGGUUUGAUUCCCCAGCACCA
Molecule: non-coding RNA, 70 nt
Organism: Dipodomys ordii (Ord's kangaroo rat)
Lineage: Eukaryota; Metazoa; Chordata; Mammalia; Rodentia; Heteromyidae
Source: Rfam